This 248-nucleotide unclassified non-coding RNA is filed under the name Penicillium sp. Its description in RNAcentral is "partial contains small subunit ribosomal RNA, internal transcribed spacer 1, and 5.8S ribosomal RNA". The stretch from base 1 to 46 matches the Rfam family "Eukaryotic small subunit ribosomal RNA", at positions 1786 to 1831 of the family's 1831-position model. The record is from RNAcentral. Lineage: Eukaryota; Fungi; Ascomycota; Eurotiomycetes; Eurotiales; Aspergillaceae.
AAGUCGUAACAAGGUUUCCGUAGGUGAACCUGCGGAAGGAUCAUUACUGAGUGAGGGCCCUCUGGGUCCAACCUCCCACCCGUGUUUAUUGUACCUUGUUGCUUCGGUGCGCCCGCCUCACGGCCGCCGGGGGGCUUCUGCCCCCGGGUCCGCGCGCACCGAAGACACCAUUGAACUCUGUAUGAAGAUUGCAGUCUGAGCGAAAACUAAAUAAGUUAAAACUUUCAACAACGGAUCUCUUGGCUCUC